RNAcentral lists this unclassified non-coding RNA (381 nucleotides) under uncultured Ascomycota. RNAcentral's name for it is "sequence contains ITS2". The stretch from base 1 to 154 matches the Rfam family "5.8S ribosomal RNA". Lineage: Eukaryota; Fungi; Ascomycota. The record is from RNAcentral.
AACUUUUAGCAAUGUAUCACUUGGUUCUGGCGUCGAUUAAGAACGCAGCGAAAUGCGAUAAGUAAUGCGAAUUGCAGAAUUCAGUGAGUCAUCGAAUCUUUGAACGCAUAUUGCGCCCUUUGGCAUUCCGAAGGGCAUGCCUGUUCGAGCGUCAUUAUCAACCAUCAAGCACGGCUUGUCAUUGGACUCUUGUCGUUGUAACACGCGAUAGGUCCGAAAGAUAAUGACGGGUGUCGUGUUGGACCCUCGAUGCAACGAGCUCUUUAUAGCACGCAUCGAACGUGGUCUGCCGCCCCGGUCUCCACCUCUAUUUUUCUUCAGGUUGACCUCGGAUCAGGUAGGAAUACCCGCUGAACUUAAGCAUAUCAAUAAGCGGAGGCU